Molecule: ribosomal RNA, 492 nt
Filed under: uncultured bacterium
Lineage: Bacteria
Description: partial 16S ribosomal RNA
Rfam family: Bacterial small subunit ribosomal RNA
Source: RNAcentral
AGUGAACGCUGGCGGCAUGCCUAACACAUGCAAGUCGAACGGCAGCACACUAAGAGCUUGCGCUUACGGGUGGCGAGUGGCGGACGGGUGAGGAAUGUAUCCUAAUCUACUUUUUCGUGGAGGAUAACGUAAGGAAACUUACGCUAGUAUCGCAGACGCCCUACGGGGGAAAGCGGUGGAACGUUGGGCCUGGCGCGAUUGGAUGAGCCGAUGUCGGAUUAGCUAGUUGGCGGGGUAAAGGCCAACCAAGGCGACGAUCCGUAGCUGGUCUGAGAGGAUGAUCAGCCACAUUGGAAGUGAGACACGGACCAGACGCCUACGGGAGGCAGCAGUGGGGAAUAUUGGACAAUGGGCGCAAGCCUGAUCCAGCCAUACCGCGUGGGUGAAGAAGGCCUUCGGGUUGUAAAGCCCUUUUGUUGGGAAAGAAACGCAGUAGGUUAAUACCCCGCGGUACUGACGGUACCGAAAGAAUAAGCACCGGCUAACUUCGUG